CCUACGGGAGGCAGCAGUGGGGAAUAUUGGACAAUGGGGGGAACCCUGAUCCAGCGACGCCGCGUGAGUGAUGAAGUAUUUCGGUAUGUAAAGCUCUAUCAGCAGGGAAGAAAGAAAUGACGGUACCUGACUAAGAAGCCCCGGCGAACUACGGGCCAGCAGCCCCGGUAAUACGGAGGGGGCAAGCGUUAUCCGGAUUUACUGGGUGUAAAGGGAGCGUAGGCGGCGAUGCAAGUCGGAAGGGAAAGGCGGGGGCCCAACCCCUGGACUGCUUUGGAAACUGUAUGGCUUGAGUGCAGGAGAGGUAAGUGGAAUGCCUGGUGUAGCGGUGAAAUGCGUAGAUAUUAGGAGGAACACCAGUGGCGAAGGCGGCUUACUGGACUGUAACUGACGUUGAGGCACGAAAGCGUGGGGAGCAAACAGGAUUAGAUACCCCAGUAGUC
This 443-nucleotide ribosomal RNA is filed under the name uncultured bacterium. RNAcentral describes it as "partial 16S ribosomal RNA". It matches the Rfam family "Bacterial small subunit ribosomal RNA", at positions 338 to 795 of the family's 1533-position model. The record is from RNAcentral.